UUAACAUUUCAUAUAUGUUUUUUACUUUGACUCAUUUCAAGAAUUGUGUACAUUGAUGCACCAGCACAUAACUCUAUAGGCAUACACCACUAUUCUCAUGGGAUUUUCUGUUAAAAUUGGAACCGAGUUGUCAGACUUUAAGCAAAGUUGGAACAUUUUUUUAGCCUCAACGUCUGGGUUUUCUUUCUAAGAUCAGAAAGUGUGGUCUGCGUUUUGAGAAUUGGAAGAAGGGUAUCAGGAAAAUAUGGGAGCAUGAGGGUUUGGGCUUUAUGCUAGUGUGUAUAAAUUAUUAGAAACUUAUCCUGAAUUGCCACAAGUGGCCAAAAGGGAUCGAUUGACUGUUUCUAAAAUACCCCAAUUUGUGCCAGCUGGAGGACCAAAUUGCAGUAUUGGAAGAAUCUUAAAGGUGUUUUGGUAAGAGGUAAAGUCCAUGGUCUCUUUUGAGUUAAAGAAAAGCGGAUUCGGUGGCAUGUUCAGGUGACUUGUUAACUACUCAUUGAUCCAUUGUCAUUUUCUUAUGGCCUUACCCAAACGGGUGGGGUCAUACCUCCAUAUGCUUUUCUUUACUCCUUCCCUUUUCUUAUUAUCAUUUUUUCUAGAAGAUAUCAUCAUGGUACUAAGAUUUGAUCAUGUUAAGAGUUCUAACGGCUCAAGUUGGUUUCUUCCUCUGCAUUUAGAUGCUAUAUAUUUAUUUCUUUUGCUCAAAAUGGUAGCCCAAAAGUAGGCUGAUUGAUUAAGGGGGAAGUAACAGAUUUAUCCAUCCGUUUCACUAUUAAUACUAUUUUGUCGCUUAGAAAGGGAAAAGUUGAGGGAUCCCCAUGUGUCUCAUUGUUCAUUGUGUGGGGACAAGUUCUGAUGUGGCUGACUAGAUUGGAUAAACUUUAGCUAUAGCUCAUGGGAAGUUUAUCAAAUUUGGUUCUUUAUGUUAAGUAUCCAAUUAAUUGUAACUGAAUUUUCCAACGACAUUACAUGUAAGUUGGCUGAAAUUGUAGCACAGGUGAAUUUCCACUUGGUUCUACAUCAACUUUUUAAAUUACAGUUUAAUAGGUAACUAACCUCGUGCUCUAUUUAUUUUUUAUAUAGAUAGAAAAUCUAGAUUUUUCUUUCUUUGCUGUUAAGUUGAGUGAAGUCAGAAUACCCACACGUGGCAGGGGCCUCCAUGAUUGGAUUGAUCUUUAUUCUGAAAAUAAUUUACUUAUUUUAGUCUUUUGUGCUUUGUCUUUGGAUUAAGGAUGAGGCAAACAUCUAUCCCUUUCUUCCCUUUAAGUCUCCUUGCUCGUGCCGUCAUGCCAGACUGGUUCUUGUGAUUAUUUUAAAGACAGAUAUGUCUUAAUGUUGCUUUCUUUUUCCUGAAAUAGAAGUAAAACAAAAAGAUCUACACAAUCACAGCCGUUGGGAGAAAUCUAAAUCUUGAAAUGGACGGCUAGUAGUGUGGGGAAUAGAAGAAAAUCGAUGGGGUUGGGAUGUCUGAUGAACGCCACAUGCACGUAGUUUUCAAAAAAAAGAGUUUGAUCUAAAUGAGGAAGCACGCACAUCUGAUUCGGAUCUAAUUGUUGCCCAUAAAGUAAUCUUUCUGUCAUGUCCCACGUUGGUUGGGGUGGAGAACAAAAAACCCUUCAAUAAGGAGCGUGAAAACCUUUCUCUAGUAGACGCGUUUUAAAGUCUUGAGGGAAAAUUUGAAAGGGAAAGCCCAAACAAGACAAUAUCUGCUAGCGGUGGAUCUGAGCCAUUACACUUUCGAACUUGGGAAGGAUAUGGAGGUAAUAGCUGUACAUGUGUGUUCAUAGAAAUCUUUUGUUUUAUGAUUCUUUUUUUAACUGAACAUUGUGGUUUUUAAAACAAGAUUGUUAUUUGUAUCACUAGUUGAAAC
This is a long non-coding RNA of Cucurbita moschata (crookneck pumpkin), 1870 nucleotides long. RefSeq lists it as uncharacterized. NCBI's taxonomy places the organism in Eukaryota, Viridiplantae, Streptophyta, Magnoliopsida, Cucurbitales, Cucurbitaceae. The record is from RefSeq and is a predicted model, not a curated record. The transcript is spliced from 3 exons.